This 1359-nucleotide ribosomal RNA is filed under the name Nassarius siquijorensis. RNAcentral describes it as "16S ribosomal RNA". It matches the Rfam family "Bacterial large subunit ribosomal RNA". The record is from RNAcentral. Lineage: Eukaryota; Metazoa; Mollusca; Gastropoda; Neogastropoda; Nassariidae.
AAUUAAAUAUUAUAGUCUAAUAAAUUAUUAAAAAUUUAUAUUGGUUAAAAACAUUUUUAAAUUUAGUAAGAGUGAUAGAAAAUUAUUAAAUAGACCUAAAAAAGUACCGUGAGGGAAUUAGUUUAAUUAAAAAAUAAAAAAACUUAAUGUUUGUACCUUUAGCAUCAUGGUUUAGCUAGAUAUAUAUUUUCUCUUAAAUUUCUCGAAAUCUAAUGAGUUAUUUUUAUUCAAUAUAUUAGUAUAAAAGAGUAGUUGUAGCAAAAACUUUCUUAGAAAUAAAAAUGGAAAUGAAAUUUUAUUCGUAUUAGAUGAUAGCUAGUUUUUCUGUAAAAGUAUAUAAGUACUUUAAAUUAAUUUAAUUUCUAUAAAUCACUUUAUAAAAAGAAUUUAAUUUAGUUAAAUUUUCGAGGAUAAGCUCGAAAAUUAAAAGUAUAUUUGUAUUAUAUUUUUAUUAAAAUUUAGGCUUGAAAAUAGCCAUAAUUUUGAGUUUGUUAUAAUUUAUUAAAUAACUAAAAAAACAAUUGAUUUACUUAUAACUACAGAGAAGAAUUUAAUAAUUAAAUUAAGUUACAUUAAUGCUAAAAUGAGUAUUAGAGUAUUUUAUAUUUUUUUAGCAAUUUAUCAGCUAAAAUUUAUAUUUAUUUAUAACACGAAAAUUAUAAAAAGGAACUCGGCAAAUACUCAUUCUGCCUGUUUAGCAAAAACAUGGCUCCUUGAAAGCCUUGAUAAUAAGGAGUCGGACCUGCCCAGUGAAUUUUUUAACGGCCGCGGUACUCUGACCGUGCAAAGGUAGCAUAAUCAUUUGCCUUAUAAUUGAAGGCUAGUAUGAAUGGUUUGACAAGAAUGAAGCUGUCUCUUUAUAAUUUAAUAGAAUUUUACUUUUAGGUGAAGAGGCCUGAAUAAGAUUAAAAGACAAGAAGACCCUAUCGAGCUUGAAAAAAAUUAGUAGAAUUAGUUAAUUAAUAUUUAUAAAAAAUUGUCUAUUAAAUAUUUUAGUUGGGGCGACUGAGGAACAUAAAAAGCUUCCUUUAAAUAAAAUUAACUGAAAUCAAACUAGAUUUGAUCCAAAAUAUUUUGAUUAAAGAAAUUAGUUACCGUAGGGAUAACAGCAUUAUCUUUUUCAAGAGCUCAUAUCGAAAAAAAGGUUUGUGACCUCGAUGUUGGACCAGAAUAUCCUAAAGGUGCAGCAGUCUUUAAGGGUUGGUCUGUUCGACCAUUAAAAUUCUACGUGAUCUGAGUUCAGACCGGCGUGAGCCAGGUCAGUUUCUAUCUUUAAUUAUUCUGAUAAAUUUAGUACGAAAGGACCAAUUUAUCGUAAAAUAAUAUUUCUUAUUGAUUAAAUUUAAUUGAACAUUAAAU